UGAAUACGAGACGCUAAGGCGUCGAAGUAGUGUAUGUCAUACUUCCAAGAAAAGCUUGCACUGUCAUAGAUAAAAAACGCCUGUACCAUAACCGACACAGGUGGGUAGGUAGAGUAUACUAAGGGGCGCGAGAUAGCUCUCUCUAAGGAACUCGGCAAAAUAACUCCGUAACUUCGGGAGAAGGAGUGCCUUAUUCUUAAGGUUGCAACAACAAGAUCCAAGCAACUGUUUAUCAAAAGCACAGGUCUCCGCUAAGUCGUAAGACGAUGUAUGGGGGCUGACGCCUGCCCAGUGCCAGAAGGUUAAAGAAGCUGGUUAGCAAUUGCGAAGCUGGUGACUGAAGCCCUGGUGAACGGCGGCCGUAACUAUAACGGUCCUAAGGUAGCGAAAUUCCUUGUCGGGUAAGUUCCGACCCGCACGAAAGGCGUAAUGAUUUGGAUACUGUCUCGGAGAGGGGCUCGGUGAAAUAGACUUGUCUGUGAAGAUGCGGACUACCUGCACCAGGACAGAAAGACCCUAUGAAGCUUUACUGUAACUUGAAAUUGAAAUUGGACUUUAUUCGCGCAGCAUAGGUGGGAGGCGUUGAUUAUAAUCUUGCGGGAUUAUUGGAGCCAUUAGUGAGAUACCACUCUUGUAAUGUUAGAUUUCUAACUUUGAAUCAUUAUCUGGUCAAAGGACAGUUUCAGGCGGGCAGUUUGACUGGGGCGGUCGCCUCCCAAACGGUAACGGAGGCGUACAAAGGUUUCCUCUGAACGGUUAGAAAUCGUAUCUAGAGUGUAAAGGCAUAAGGAAGCUUGACUGUGAGACCUACAAGUCGAGCAGGGACGAAAGUCGGUCUUAGUGAUCUGACGGUACUGAGUGGAAAGGCCGUCACUCAACGGAUAAAAGUUACUCUAAGGAUAACAGGCUGAUCUCCCCCAAGAGUUCACAUCGACGGGGAGGUUUGGCACCUCGAUGUCGGCUCAUCGCAUCCUGGGGCGGUAGUACGUCCCAAGGGUUGGGCUGUUCGCCCAUGAAAGCGGUACGCGAGCUGGGUUCAGAACGUCGUGAGACAGUUCGGUCCAUAUCCGGUGUAGGCGUUAGAAUAUUGAGAGGAGCCUUCUUUAGUACGAGAGGACCGAGAAGGACAUACCUCUGGUGUACCAGUUAUCGUGCCAACGGUAAACGCUGGGUAGCUAUGUAUGGAGUGGAUAACCGCUGAAAGCAUCUAAGUGGGAAGCCCACCUCAAGAUAAG
Molecule: ribosomal RNA, 1235 nt
Filed under: metagenome
Description: bacterial LSU rRNA
Rfam family: Bacterial large subunit ribosomal RNA
Source: RNAcentral